GACGAACGCUUGCGGCGUGCUUAACACAUGCAAGUCGAACGGAAAGGCCCUGCUUUUGUGGGGUGCUCGAGUGGCGAACGGGUGAGUAACACGUGAGUAACCUGCCCUUGACUUUGGGAUAACUUCAGGAAACUGGGGCUAAUACCGGAUAGGAGCUCCUGCUGCAUGGUGGGGGUUGGAAAGUUUCGGCGGUUGGGGAUGGACUCGCGGCUUAUCAGCUUGUUGGUGGGGUAGUGGCUUACCAAGGCUUUGGCGGGUAGCCGGCCUGAGAGGGUGACCGGCCACAUUGGGACUGAGAUACGGCCCAGACUCCUACGGGAGGCAGCAGUGGGGAAUAUUGCACAAUGGGCGGAAGCCUGAUGCAGCGACGCCGCGUGCGGGAUGACGGCCUUCGGGUUGUAAACCGCUUUCGCCUGUGACGAAGCGUGAGUGACGGUAAUGGGUAAAGAAGCACCGGCUAACUACGUGCCAGCAGCCGCGGUGAUACGUAGGGUGCGAACGUUGUCCGGAUUUAUUGGGCGUAAAGGGCUCGUAGGUGGUUGAUCGCGUCGGAAGUGUAAUCUUGGGGCUUAACCCUGAGCGUGCUUUCGAUACGGGUUGACUUGAGGAAGGUAGGGGAGAAUGGAAUUCCUGGUGGAGCGGUGGAAUGCGCAGAUAUCAGGAGGAACACCAGUGGCGAAGGCGGUUCUCUGGGCCUUUCCUGACGCUGAGGAGCGAAAGCGUGGGGAGCGAACAGGCUCAGAUACCCUGGUAGUCCACGCUGUAAACGGUGGGUACUAGGUGUGGGGUCCAUUCCACGGGUUCCGUGCCGUAGCUAACGCUUUAAGUACCCCGCCUGGGGAGUACGGCCGCAAGGCUAAAACUCAAAGGAAUUGACGGGGCCCCGCACAAGCGGCGGAGCAUGCGGAUUAAUUCGAUGCAACGCGUAGAACCUUACCUGGGUUUGACAUGGAUCGGGAGUGCUCAGAGAUGGGUGUGCCUCUUUUGGGGUCGGUUCACAGGUGGUGCAUGCCUGUCGUCAGCUCGUGUCGUGAGAUGUUGGGUUAAGUCCCGCAACGAGCGCAACCCUUGUUCACUGUUGCCAGCACGUUAUGGUGGGGACUCAGUGGAGACCGCCGGGGUCAACUCGGAGGAAGGUGGGGAUGACGUCAAGUCAUCAUGCCCCUUAUGUCCAGGGCUUCACGCAUGCUACAAUGGCUGGUACAGAGAGUGGCGAGCCUGUGAGGGUGAGCGAAUCUCGGAAAGCCGGUCUCAGUUCGGAUUGGGGUCUGCAACUCGACCUCAUGAAGUCGGAGUCGCUAGUAAUCGCAGAUCAGCAACGCUGCGGUGAAUACGUUCCCGGGGCC
This 1346-nucleotide ribosomal RNA is filed under the name uncultured bacterium. RNAcentral describes it as "bacterial SSU rRNA". It matches the Rfam family "Bacterial small subunit ribosomal RNA", at positions 28 to 1381 of the family's 1533-position model. The record is from RNAcentral.